UACAGAGGCCUCAAGCGUUGUUCGGAUUCAUUGGGCGUAAAGGGUGCGUAGGCGGCGCGGUAAGUCGGGUGUGAAAUUUCGAGGCUUAACUCCGAAACUGCAUUCGAUACUGCCGUGCUUGAGGACUGGAGAGGAGACUGGAAUUUACGGUGUAGCGGUGAAAUGCGUAGAUAUCGUAAGGAAGACCAGUGGCGAAGGCGGGUCUCUGGACAGUUCCUGACGCUGAGGCACGAAGGCCAGGGGAGCAAACGGG
RNAcentral lists this ribosomal RNA (253 nucleotides) under uncultured bacterium. RNAcentral describes it as "partial 16S ribosomal RNA". It matches the Rfam family "Bacterial small subunit ribosomal RNA", at positions 524 to 776 of the family's 1533-position model. The record is from RNAcentral.